ACGGGUGAGUAAUACAUCGGAACGUGCCCUGUAGUGGGGGAUAACUAGUCGAAAGAUUAGCUAAUACCGCAUACGACCUGAGGGUGAAAGUGGGGGACCGCAAGGCCUCAUGCUAUAGGAGCGGCCGAUGUCUGAUUAGCUAGUUGGUGGGGUAAAGGCCCACCAAGGCGACGAUCAGUAGCUGGUCUGAGAGGACGAUCAGCCACACUGGGACUGAGACACGGCCCAGACUCCUACGGGAGGCAGCAGUGGGGAAUUUUGGACAAUGGGGGCAACCCUGAUCCAGCAAUGCCGCGUGUGUGAAGAAGGCCUUCGGGUUGUAAAGCACUUUUGUCCGGAAAGAAAUCGCACUGGUUAAUACCUGGUGUGGAUGACGGUACCGGAAGAAUAAGGACCGGCUAACUACGUGCCAGCAGCCGCGGUAAUACGUAGGGUCCAAGCGUUAAUCGGAAUUACUGGGCGUAAAGCGUGCGCAGGCGGUUGUGCAAGACCGAUGUGAAAUCCCCGGGCUUAACCUGGGAAUUGCAUUGGUGACUGCACGGCUAGAGUGUGUCAGAGGGGGGGUAGAAUUCCAC
Molecule: ribosomal RNA, 575 nt
Filed under: uncultured bacterium
Lineage: Bacteria
Description: bacterial SSU rRNA
Rfam family: Bacterial small subunit ribosomal RNA
Source: RNAcentral